RNAcentral lists this ribosomal RNA (363 nucleotides) under Triticum aestivum (bread wheat). RNAcentral's name for it is "partial small subunit ribosomal RNA". Lineage: Eukaryota; Viridiplantae; Streptophyta; Magnoliopsida; Poales; Poaceae. The record is from RNAcentral.
AUGAUGUUCUGUCGUAAAAGCAUUUUUGGACCUGGCCGAACUACUAUAGGAUACGUGCCACUAGUGCACAAGUUGAGUGAUGCUAACAUUCAUAGAAAUAUCAUGCUCUCAAAUGUUGUUGUGCCUGCGCUGAUGGAUGUUGAAGGUCGGAUGAUAAUUAUUAGCCCUUUGAAGGUCAGCUUCAAAUAUAGAUACUCGACUGAAUGCCAACCAGAUGGAUGCCUCAAAAUUGAAGGAUGGAGACAAAUAGUGAAUGAGUGUAGGCCACAAUCGGAGACCGAUAGAUCUCUGUGCUCCAUCAUGGAGAUUGAGGGAUUUUUCUGUUUUAUUCUAUUAUCCCUAAGAGAGAGGAGUAGGUCCUAG